RNAcentral lists this transfer RNA (63 nucleotides) under Oncopsis nigrofasciata. RNAcentral describes it as "tRNA-Gly". The record is from RNAcentral. Lineage: Eukaryota; Metazoa; Arthropoda; Insecta; Hemiptera; Cicadellidae.
AUUCAUUUAAUAUAAAAAGUAUAUAAAGUUUCCAACUUUAAAGUCAAUUAAAAAGAAUGAAUA